AUAAUCGUGGUGAAAAAGGUAAACACAAUUAGUUUAGGUCUAAUCCUUUAAGGGUUCAAGUCCCUUCGAUUAUA
RNAcentral lists this transfer RNA (74 nucleotides) under Intestinozyma alai. Its description in RNAcentral is "Candida alai tRNA-Leu". It matches the Rfam family "tRNA". From Rfam's summary of the family: Transfer RNA (tRNA) molecules are approximately 80 nucleotides in length. Their secondary structure includes four short double-helical elements and three loops (D, anti-codon, and T loops). The record is from RNAcentral. Lineage: Eukaryota; Fungi; Ascomycota; Pichiomycetes; Serinales; Debaryomycetaceae.